AUACAGAUGAAGGCGAAGAAGGAAGUUCUCACCCACCCCAAAGCCAAAGCAAAGGCCUUGAAAGCUAAGAAGACAGAGCUGGAAGGCGUCCACAGCUACAAGAAAACAAAACACCCACCUUCUAGUGACCCUAACCCUGAAGCUCCAGAGGCAGCACAAAUAAUGCUGACAGGAACACACCCGGGAGAAGACACUUGACCACUAUGCGGUUAUCAAAACACCCAGAUCACUGAUCAGCCAUGCAGAGAAGGGAAGACAGCAAGCUUGUGUUCUUUGUGGAUGUCAAGGCCAACAACAACCUGACCAGACAGGCUGUUGAAACCCUAUGGCACUGAUGUGACCAAAGUCAAUAUUCUGAUAAGGCCUGACAGAGAGAAGAUGAUGUAUGUUUGCUUGGCUCCUGAUUGUUGUGCAGUAGAUGUUGCCAAGAAAAUUGGGAUCAUCUAU
This 447-nucleotide long non-coding RNA is filed under the name Mus musculus (house mouse). Its description in RNAcentral is "long non-coding RNA chr4:53308225-53308672". Lineage: Eukaryota; Metazoa; Chordata; Mammalia; Rodentia; Muridae. The record is from RNAcentral.